AUACGUAGGGGGCGAGCGUUGUCCGGAAUGAUUGGGCGUAAAGGGCGCGUAGGCGGCGCGGUAAGUCUGGAGUGAAAGUCCUGCUUUCAAGGUGGAAUUGCUUUGGAUACUGCCGCGCUUGAGUGCAGGAGAGGUUAUCGGAAUUCCCGGUGUAGCGGUGAAAUGCGUAGAGAUCGGGAGGAACACCAGUGGCGAAGGCGGGUAACUGGACUGCAACUGACGCUGAGGCGCGAAAGUGUGGGGAGCAAACAGGAUUAGAUACCCUGGUAGUCCACACUGUAAACGAUGAAUGCUAGGUGUAGGGGGUAUCGACCCCUUCUGUGCCGCAGUCAACACAAUAAGCAUUCCGCCUGGGGAGUACGGCCGCAAGGUUGAAACUCAAAGGAAUUGACGGGG
RNAcentral lists this ribosomal RNA (396 nucleotides) under uncultured bacterium. Its description in RNAcentral is "partial 16S ribosomal RNA". It matches the Rfam family "Bacterial small subunit ribosomal RNA", at positions 523 to 918 of the family's 1533-position model. The record is from RNAcentral.